UAUCCAUACUUCAAGAUUCAAAGACAAUGAGUUCUUGGAAGUACUGCUUUGAAAUAUGGAAGACAUGGAAUAAUGUCUGGUUUUUUUCCUCCUCUGUAUUAUCCUGCAAAUAUAUGAACAUAACUAUUAUGUAUCCUUUUUUUUUUCCUGAUUGCAGGAGAAGCUUUGUGAUUUGAUAUUGAGGAAUAAGAUAGCAAGAAGAUGGGGUUACAAUGAUGGCUAAUAACGUACUCGCCUAUGUUGAGGUCAAGGAUGAGAAGAUAGAAUUGUUGUUGUAGAUAUGAAUUCUUCCUUGAAUUGCACACCUUUUUUUGUUUUUCUUUUUGUUAAGACAUUGUAUACAUCUAUUUUUCUAGUCAAUAUAGUAUGAAUACUGAAUAAUGGAAGAUAGUUCUUGUAUUGUUUCAUGAAUUUGGUUCAGUUUGUAAUGAUGAUUAUUUAUUUUUUUAUCAUUACGAAAUAUUGUGUUUAA
Non-coding RNA from Erythranthe guttata (spotted monkey flower), 472 nucleotides. The record is from RefSeq and is a predicted model, not a curated record. Lineage: Eukaryota; Viridiplantae; Streptophyta; Magnoliopsida; Lamiales; Phrymaceae.